This is a non-coding RNA of Cottoperca gobio, 75 nucleotides long. The record is from the annotation of a RefSeq genome assembly. NCBI's taxonomy places the organism in Eukaryota, Metazoa, Chordata, Actinopteri, Perciformes, Bovichtidae.
GUCGCUGUGGCUUAGUUGGUUGAAAGUGCCUGUCUAGUAAACAGGAGAUCCUGGGCUCAAAUCCCAGCAGUGCCU